AUAUGAAUUCUCAUUAUCUAUAUCACUUAAUAUUUUCAAAUUUUCUCAGGUUUGUUUGGUUAAUUAUCUUUAGGAAACACAAGCUGAGGAAAAUAACUUGUCUAAGAUGAGUAGGAAAACAAGUUAUACAAAACCAGUCUACAGGUGUGUUGAAAAUAUUUUCUAGAAAAAUAAAUAAUAUGUUACUUAUUUUCUUGUAUUUGAUAUAUAUGCAAGUAAACAAUAUUUUCCUCCACACUCUAUAUGCUAUUCUUAUUUUUUGUGUGUGUGAAAAUUCCGACUCUAUGAC
This 289-nucleotide long non-coding RNA is filed under the name Solanum tuberosum (potato). RNAcentral describes it as "long non-coding RNA (STUB_LNC010474)". The record is from RNAcentral. Lineage: Eukaryota; Viridiplantae; Streptophyta; Magnoliopsida; Solanales; Solanaceae.